This 440-nucleotide ribosomal RNA is filed under the name uncultured bacterium. RNAcentral describes it as "partial 16S ribosomal RNA". It matches the Rfam family "Bacterial small subunit ribosomal RNA", at positions 338 to 795 of the family's 1533-position model. The record is from RNAcentral.
CCUACGGGUGGCAGCAGUGGGGAAUAUUGCACAAUGGGCGAAACCCUGAUGCAGCGACGCCGCGUGAGUGAAGAAGUAAUUCGUUAUGUAAAGCUCUUUCAGCAGGGAAGAAACUGACGGUACCUGCGUAAGAAUCCCCGGCUAACUACGUGCCAGCAGCCGCGGUAAUACGUAGGGGGCAAGCGUUAUCCGGAUUUACUGGGUGUAAAGGGGGCGUAGGCGGCAGUGCAAGUCUGGAGUGAAAGGCGGGGGCUCAACCCCCGGACUGCUCUGGAAACUGUACGGCUGGAGUGCAGGAGAGGUAAGUGGAAUUCCUAGUGUAGCGGUGAAAUGCGUAGAUAGUAGGAGGAACACCAGUGGCGAAGGCGGCUUACUGGACUGUAACUGACGUUGAGGCGCGAAAGCGUGGGGAGCAAACAGGAUUAGAUACCCUUGUAGUC